GGCAGUGGCGGAGGUGGUAACCGCGAUAGUAGCAGCUCUCGCAGCAGCAACAGUGACUACGAGGGAUGGCAGCGGCUGCAGCAGGAUUUGCAACAUCCCGGAGGUUUUUCCAGAGCUUCUCGGAUGCUCUAAUCGACGAGGACCCCCAGGCGGCAUUAGAGGAGCUGACUAAGGCUUGGGAACAGAAACCAGAUGAUGCACAAUAUUAUUGUCAAAGAGCUUAUUGCCACAUUCUUCUUGGGAAUUACUGUGUUGCUGUUGCUGAUGCAAAGAAGUCUCUCGAACUCAAUCCAAAUAAUUCCACUGCUAUGUUGAGAAAAGGAAUAUGUGAAUACCAUGAAAAAAACUAUGCUGCUGCUCUAGAAACUCUUAUAGAAGGACAAAAAUUAGAUAGUGCAGAUGCUAAUUUCAGUGUCUGGAUUAAAAGGUGUCAAGAAGCUCAGGUGUAGAUUCAUCAGUCAAAAAUCAAGUACGACUGGUAUCAAACAGAAUCUCAAGUAGUCAUUACGCUUAUGAUCAAGAAUGUUCAGAAGAAUUAUGUAAAUGUGCAAUUUUCAGAAAAACAGUCUGCUUUGGUUAAACUUCCUUCUGGAGAGGAUUACAAUUUGAAACUGGAACUUCUUCAUCCUAUAAUACCAGAACAGAGCACAUUUAAAGUACUUUCAACAAAGAUUGAAAUUAAACUGAAAAAGCCAGAGGCUGUGAGAUGGGAAAAGCUAGAGGGGCAAGGAGAUGAGCCUACGCCAAAACAAUUCAUAGCAGAUGUGAAGAACCUAUAUCCAUCAUCAUCUCCUUAUACAAGAAAUUGGGAUAAAUUGGUUGGUGAGAUAAAAGAAGAAGAAAAGAAUGAAAAGUUGGAGGGAGAUGCAGCUUUAAACAGAUUAUUUCAGCAGAUCUAUUCAGAUGGUUCUGAUGAAGUGAAACGUGCCAUGAACAAAUCCUUUAUGGAGUCUGGUGGUACAGUUUUGAGUACCAACUGGUCUGAUGUAGGUAAAAGGAAAGUUGAAAUCAAUCCUCCUGAUGAUAUGGAAUGGAAAAAGUACUAAAUAAAUUAAUUUGCUCU
This is an RNA transcript of Sapajus apella (tufted capuchin), 1063 nucleotides long. It is a transcript of the gene named protein SGT1 homolog pseudogene, with no coding region annotated. The record is from RefSeq and is a predicted model, not a curated record. The transcript has a single exon. Lineage: Eukaryota; Metazoa; Chordata; Mammalia; Primates; Cebidae.